Molecule: long non-coding RNA, 1407 nt
Filed under: Anas platyrhynchos platyrhynchos (common mallard)
Lineage: Eukaryota; Metazoa; Chordata; Aves; Anseriformes; Anatidae
Description: lncRNA (ENSAPLG00000026276.1)
Source: RNAcentral
ACUUCAUGAAAGCAAUCCUGUGCUAACAAAUCAGCUGAAUUUCAAAGACACAGGAGAAAAAGUGAAUUUUAAAACAGCUGGCAGGAAGCAGACUUUGUUUCAUAGUAAGAGCUCCACCAGGAGUGUUGUGUUUUGUAAGUGCACAGCUCCCUGCAUCCAGAGAGGAGUCCAGCUCCAGCAUCUCAGGUGGGAGCUGCAUGCUACCAAAUCCAAUCAAAUCUGUGCACCGAGGGCGAUGCACAACCGCCUGUGAUGGACAGCACACUAAUGGCUUUACCACCUGGAUGUAGGUUGUGCCCUAAAGCACAGGAAAUACUGGAAAGUAUUUCAAACUGCUCAAAAUGUUGUUCUUCCCCCUUUUCAGAAGCCAGCUGGAAAUAUCUGUCGCUGAAGCUGUGCGCUGAAGGAAAUGCAGUAUAACUUAGAGCUGUGUCUUUCCACCCCAGUCCACCAGUGUCUGGAGGAGGAGAGAAAACUGGAAGCAAACAAUCAUCUCCGCUUCGAGAGAACUGCAGGCUGUAAAGAAAGGAGAAAGGGAAACAUGACAGGCAUGUGUGGAAAAUCAGACAGAAGAGGAAUACUUAAUGAAAAAUGGACUAAUGUCUAGACUGCGUGAGCUUAACUUCAAAAGAGUAGCAAUCUACAGUUAAAUCAAUUGAAUAAGCAAAUUAAAUCUUCGCCUUCCUUGUUGACUGGCUUUAAGACAAUGAUAUCCUAACCAAUAUUUAUUUGCUUAGCAUUCCCCAAUGGAAUCAACUGUGACAAUUUACAGUCAGCCCAAGAAACCAAAACCAACAAAUGGAAAACCACACUCCAUUCAAAUUAAACUGCUAUAGUAAUUGUUCCCUCUUUGGGCACGUUUUUGCUAUAUUUUAGUUAUACUUUCAUACAAAAAUGUACCAAAAACUAUUUUAUAUGUAGGCCAAACAAAACAACAUCCUAAACCAGGGCUCCUUAUUGUGACAGUCUGACACGUUUUUGUGACUGUCGUGACAGAUUGGGCAGCAAAAGCUGUGAAGCAGAGGUUGGCUGCAGGGCUUUUCAUUAAGCAUGUUAUCCUCUUGCUCGCUUGUGUGUUCAGGAGGGACAAGAAUCAGCAAGACCAUUUUCAGGUGAAUUAACACGCUGUCAAGGCUGUGCCGUAAUAGUGCUGCAGGCGUGGGGAAGGCAGCAAAGGCACAGCUCUGCAGCCCAAGGGAAGGCCCUGCAGGAGAUGAGACGUGAACAUCUCUCCUGGUGUGGAAGAAACCUGGGGUGAGGAUUUCCUCCUGACCCAGAGCAGGCUGAUCCGGAGCUGGAGUCUGGGCUGAGCCAGAGAUGGUGCCACUGGGCUCAGAUAAGAAAACACCUCGCCCUCCUUCUUCCUCGUGUUAUGAGGUGUGGAUUUGGACUUCAAGGCCAUUCCCA